Molecule: unclassified non-coding RNA, 2583 nt
Filed under: Bombyx mandarina (wild silkworm)
Lineage: Eukaryota; Metazoa; Arthropoda; Insecta; Lepidoptera; Bombycidae
Description: zinc finger protein 69 homolog, transcript variant X4
Source: RNAcentral
UGGUGUGGUGGUGGGAUGUAUGGACGUGGGGAUAGGCGCGGGUGCGUGCUGUGACGAAACUAGGACAGUGUAGUUUUUUUUUCGAAGUCGCCGAAAAGUCGAAAGAACAUGUGCGACAUGCAGAACAUGCCAUCAAGAGAUGAUACAUCUUGUGACGAAGAUAGCGAGAUGAAUUUCGCUACGUUUGCUGCGGGGGGUGCACAUUUCGUGACCACUGGAGGGCAGCUACCUGUUACGAAAAUUCAACAGAAUGUGUCGAACAAUGGAAACUCUUUAUCACAGAUGGUAGGUAUGGUGGGGGGUGUCACUAUGGGCGAGGGUGGCAUGCAGUAUGUCCGGUCGCUGGACGGCGGCACCAGCUUGCAGCCCACUCCUCAACUCAUCUCCGUGCCUAUAGCGUUGCCCGGAGUCAAACCUGGUGAUCCGCAACCAACGGUGCAAAUACAGGUGCUCAAUCCGAAUCUACUACAAACUCAGCAACAACCGAAAUAUCAUAUGCAAAUACCCAUACAGGGAUUACAGAAUGGUGCUGUUUUGACCUUGGCGUAUUCACCGGAAACUAACGACGCUGGCACCUUACAGCUUGUCGGACAGAAUUCAUUAGGAGAAGGGCUCCAAGUAUUAACCGCUCUCUCGCCAGAUCUGCAAGUUAUGCAGCCUUCACAAACUCGAACACAUGACAGUGAACAUAACCAGCCUACUAUGCAUCAGGUAUUCAUAACACCGAACCAACAGAUUAUUAUAAAUGGUCCGGAUAAAGCUUUGAACAACAACACAGACAACAAUAAUCCGAACAUCACUAAUAUUACCAUCAAAGAGGAAUGUGAAGAAAACAUUGAUGAUGAAAGUUCACAAGGGACUGAGACAAGUGACAGUAUGUCAUAUCCAUCGAACCCCAGUGAUGAGGCGCUGCUCAUAAAGUACCUCAACCAAUUUCCGCAGGAAAAACAAUCAUUGCCUGCUUCUCUACAACAGUUCUUAAGGCUGAAACAUACUGAGGCAAAAAAGCAGAUGAUCGAAGUUGAAGUUCCACCAGAGCACGACAAAACAGUCGAGGCCGUCGCUGAAGCCAUUCUCAGUGAAGACGGCACUUUAAGAAUAAAAAGCAAGAAAAGAAAGAAAUACAAAAAGAAGCCAAGUAAACUGGCCCGACCGAAGCCAGGGCAGGUUGUCAUAGCGACUGCCGCCGAUGGAACACCCAUAUAUUGCUGUCCAGAAUGUCAGAUGGCAUACCGAGAAAAGGAUGAACUGGAACAACACCUUAGUGUUCACAAGAUCGAGAGGAGAUUUAUAUGUGGAAUCUGUGGCGCUGGUUUGAAACGCAAAGAGCAUCUAGAGAGACACAAGCUAGGACACAACCCGGAGCGGCCCUACGUGUGCUCCGUCUGCACCAAGGGCUUCAAGCGACGGGAACAUCUCAACCUCCACGCCGUGCUGCACUCAGGGGUCAAGACUGAGAUAUGCGGAGAAUGCGGGAAAGGCUUCUACCGUAAGGAUCACCUCCGCAAGCACACACGGUCGCACGAGAGUAAGCGAGCUCGCGAGCAAGCGGACGCGGCCACUGCUGAGAAGCCACAACCUGCCAACAACAAUACUUCUAGUAUACCCGAGAUCACCAUUCAUAUUCCAACGAGUUCAAGCAUGCAAGUGCCCAUCGAGAUAAACAUCCCCCAGCACCUCGUGACGUCACUGGCGUCAGCGCAGCAGCAGCAGCAGCAGCAACAAGCACACGAAACACUGGACGCCCUAUUGGCCCAACACACCUGACACUCUGCUUAGCGGCCGCCCACACCGACGGGGAAACUCACACCAUGCCUUCGAUCCCAGCCCUAGAUAAAUGGAUCGCGCGUCCCACUCGUCGCUCCCGCUACCGCUUAUCACCGGGCACUCACCCUGAAUGCGCGCCGGACUUCGAGUCUUGGUAAAUGAUACAUCGUUCGAGCCAUUUCAAUAUUGAAACACGGUAGUUAGUAUUUUUUCAUCAUUACAGAAUAAAGUUGGAAGUUGCGAUUUUUUGUAAAUUGUCUUAGAAGUAAUUUGUAAAAAUAAUAUAUCGUAUAUCUCAAAAUUUUGUAUGUUUCGAUUAAAAACUUCGGUCAAAAACUUUCCAAUGUUAGCGAGUAGGUAAAAUAUAUACAUACAUACAUACAUGAAUACAUAUUUUUUAACGGUAUUUUUAUGAAGCGUCAAAGUUAAUUUAGUAGUAGGAAGUAAGGAAUAAUGUAUGUACCUAUGUAGUGUUUUUUUUUUGUAAAUCAAUUCUGUGAGUUGGUUUUUUUUGGGACAAGCAGUAGUUUUGUAAGUUUCUUGUAGUGUAAACUCUUAAAUUUUCGUACUGUCAAUUAUUAUAAUGAAAUUAAAGCGAUUUCUUCUCUGUACAGUGCAGCCAUAAGGUUCAGUUCUCACUGCGCGAUAAUUUUUGUUUUAUACCAAUAUCGAUUCGGGAAAUAUAAUCAUUUCGAGAACCAAUGAGACAGUCUUAGCGAGCUUUUAGCUUCGUACGAUUUAAAAAAAUUUUUUCUGACAAUUCGUCUUCUCGCAUUAAAACUGUAUAAUCUCAAAACUACUAAUUUUACAGGAGAG